Molecule: ribosomal RNA, 501 nt
Filed under: uncultured bacterium
Lineage: Bacteria
Description: bacterial SSU rRNA
Rfam family: Bacterial small subunit ribosomal RNA
Source: RNAcentral
AGAGUUUGAUCCUGGCUCAGAUUGAACGCUGGCGGCAUGCCUUACACAUGCAAGUCGAACGGUAACGCGGGGGCAACCCUGGCGACGAGUGGCGAACGGGUGAGUAAUGCAUCGGAACGUGCCCAGUAGUGGGGGAUAGCUCGGCGAAAGCCGGAUUAAUACCGCAUACGCACUACGGUGGAAAGCGGGGGACCGAAAGGCCUCGCGCUAUUGGAGCGGCCGAUGUCGGAUUAGCUUGUUGGUGGGGUAAUGGCCUACCAAGGCGACGAUCCGUAGCUGGUCUGAGAGGACGACCAGCCACACUGGGACUGAGACACGGCCCAGACUCCUACGGGAGGCAGCAGUGGGGAAUUUUGGACAAUGGGCGAAAGCCUGAUCCAGCAAUGCCGCGUGUGUGAAGAAGGCCUUCGGGUUGUAAAGCACUUUUGGCGGGAACGAAACAGCGCUUGCUAAUACCGGGCGCGAAUGACGGUACCCGCAGAAUAAGCACCGGCUAACUAC